UAAGACAGAGGUGCCGAGCGUUAGGCGGAAUCACUGGGCUUAAAGCGCGUGUAGGCGGACCGUUAAGUGCCUCGUGAAAUCCCCCGGCUCAACCGGGGAACGGCCGGGCAGACUGGCGGUCUUGAGCAACCUAGGGGUCAUCGGAACAGGCGGUGGAGCGGUGAAAUGCGUAGAUAUCGCCUGGAACGCCGACGGUGAAAACAGAUGACUGGGGGUUUGCUGACGCUGAGACGCGAAAGCCAGGGGAGCGAACGGGAUUAGAUACCCCGGUAGUCCUGGCCCUAAACGAUGUCCACUAGGUCGCGGCGGUUUUGACGCCGUCGCGGCCGAAGCAAAAGUGCUAAGUGGACCGCCUGGGAAGUACGGUCGCAAGGCUA
RNAcentral lists this ribosomal RNA (377 nucleotides) under uncultured bacterium. RNAcentral's name for it is "bacterial SSU rRNA". It matches the Rfam family "Bacterial small subunit ribosomal RNA", at positions 521 to 896 of the family's 1533-position model. The record is from RNAcentral.